RNAcentral lists this ribosomal RNA (446 nucleotides) under uncultured bacterium. Its description in RNAcentral is "partial 16S ribosomal RNA". It matches the Rfam family "Bacterial small subunit ribosomal RNA", at positions 338 to 795 of the family's 1533-position model. The record is from RNAcentral.
CCUACGGGAGGCAGCAGUCGAGAAUCAUUCACAAUGGGGGAAACCCUGAUGGUGCGACGCCGCGUGGGGGAAUGAAGGUCUUCGGAUUGUAAACCCCUGUCAUGUGGGAGCAAAUUAAAAAGAUAGUACCACAAGAGGAAGAGACGGCUAACUCUGUGCCAGCAGCCGCGGUAAUACAGAGGUCUCAAGCGUUGUUCGGAAUCACUGGGGGUAACGCGUGCGUAGGCUGUUUCGUAAGUCGUGUGUGAAAGGCGCGGGCUCAACCCGCGGACGGCACAUGAUACUGCGAGACUAGAGUAAUGGAGGGGGAACCGGAAUUCUCGGUGGAGCAGUGAAAUGCGUAGAUAUCGAGAGGAACACUCGUGGCGAAGGCGGGUUCCUGGACAUUAACUGACGCUGAGGCACGAAGGCCAGGGGAGCGAAAGGGAUUAGAUACCCGGGUAGUC